GACGAACGCUGGCGGCGUGCUUAACACAUGCCAGUCGAACGGAAAGGCCCUGCUUUUGUGGGGUGCUCGAGUGGCGAACGGGUGAGUAACACGUGAGUAACCUGCCCUUGACUUUGGGAUAACUUCAGGAAACUGGGGCUAAUACCGGAUAGGAGCUCCUGCUGCAUGGUGGGGGUUGGAAAGUUUCGGCGGUUGGGGAUGGACUCGCGGCUUAUCAGCUUGUUGGUGUGGUAGUGGCUUACCAAGGCUUUGACGGGUAGCCGGCCUGAGAGGGUGACCGGCCACAUUGGGACUGAGAUACGGACCAGACUCCUACGGGAGGCAGCAGUGGGGAAUAUUGCACAAUGGGCGGAAGCCUGAUGCAGCAACGCCGCGUGCGGGAUGACGGCCUUCGGGUUGUAAACCGCUUUCGCCUGUGACGAAGCGUGAGUGACGGUAAUGGGUAAAGAAGCACCGGCUAACUACGUG
Molecule: ribosomal RNA, 468 nt
Filed under: uncultured bacterium
Lineage: Bacteria
Description: partial 16S ribosomal RNA
Rfam family: Bacterial small subunit ribosomal RNA
Source: RNAcentral